GGGGUAGAGCACUGUUUCGGCUAGGGGGUCAUCCCGACUUACCAACCCGAUGCAAACUCCGAAUACCGCGGAGUACAAUCAUGGCAGACACACGGCGGGUGCUAACGUCCGUCGUGAAGAGGGAAACAACCCAGACCGCCAGCUAAGGUCCCCAAGUACCAGUUAAGUGGGAAACGAUGUGGGAAGGCUCAGACAGCUAGGAGGUUGGCUUAGAAGCAGCCAUCCUUUAAAGAAAGCGUAA
RNAcentral lists this ribosomal RNA (241 nucleotides) under Alexandrium margalefii. RNAcentral describes it as "partial Bacterial large subunit ribosomal RNA". It matches the Rfam family "Bacterial large subunit ribosomal RNA", at positions 899 to 1137 of the family's 2925-position model. The record is from RNAcentral. Lineage: Eukaryota; Dinophyceae; Gonyaulacales; Pyrocystaceae.